Molecule: small nucleolar RNA, 69 nt
Organism: Doryrhamphus excisus (bluestripe pipefish)
Lineage: Eukaryota; Metazoa; Chordata; Actinopteri; Syngnathiformes; Syngnathidae
Source: RefSeq, a predicted model, not a curated record
GGUGCAAGUGAUGCUUAUCAGCGAUCAAAGUAUGAAGAAUAUGAUUCCAACUCCUCCCACUGAUGCACC